Molecule: ribosomal RNA, 373 nt
Filed under: Prionailurus bengalensis (leopard cat)
Lineage: Eukaryota; Metazoa; Chordata; Mammalia; Carnivora; Felidae
Description: partial 16S ribosomal RNA
Rfam family: Bacterial large subunit ribosomal RNA
Source: RNAcentral
UUUGUUCCCUAAAUAGGGACUUGUAUGAAUGGCCACACGAGGGCUUUACUGUCUCUUACUUCCAAUCCGUGAAAUUGACCUUCCCGUGAAGAGGCGGGAAUACAACAAUAAGACGAGAAGACCCUAUGGAGCUUUAAUUAAUCGACUCAAAGAGACUCCACUAACUAACCGACAGGAACAACAAACCUCUACAUGAGCCGACAAUUUAGGUUGGGGUGACCUCGGAGAACAAAACAACCUCCGAGUGAUUUAAAUCUAGACUAACCAGUCAAAAGUAUUACAUCACUUAUUGAUCCAAAAACUUGAUCAACGGAACAAGUUACCCUAGGGAUAACAGCGCAAUCCUAUUUUAGAGUCCAUAUCGACAAUAGGG